RNAcentral lists this ribosomal RNA (133 nucleotides) under Spirodela intermedia. Lineage: Eukaryota; Viridiplantae; Streptophyta; Magnoliopsida; Alismatales; Araceae. The record is from RNAcentral.
CCCUCCUUAGUGAGAGAGUUGCCACUGGAUCCCAUAAGAACUCUAGAGUUAAGCAUGCUUGAGUGGAAGUAGUCCUAGAUGGGUGACCUCCUUGGGAAGCUUGGGUACAUGGGGACCUCACUAUGCCAAGAUG